RNAcentral lists this ribosomal RNA (253 nucleotides) under uncultured bacterium. RNAcentral describes it as "partial 16S ribosomal RNA". It matches the Rfam family "Bacterial small subunit ribosomal RNA", at positions 524 to 776 of the family's 1533-position model. The record is from RNAcentral.
UACGUAGGGGGCUAGCGUUGUCCGGAUUUAUUGGGCGUAAAGAGCGUGUAGGCGGCCAUGUAGGUCCGGUGUGAAAACUCGAGGCUUAACCUCGAGAUGUCAUCGGAAACCAUUUGGCUAGAGUCCGGAAGAGGAGAGUGGAAUUCCUGGUGUAGCGGUGAAAUGCGCACAUAUCAGGAAGAACACCAAUGGCGAAAGCAGCUCUCUGGGACGGUACUGACGCUGAGACGCGAAAGCGUGGGGAGCGAACAGG